AAAAAUUGCAUAAAAUGAGUAAGAAAUAAUACUAAUUUUGCUAGUCACUGUCAACAGCAAUAAUGCAAAGUGAUUAAUAGUUACAAUUUUCAUCAUCUGAACCUUAUCACUUAUGCUCCUCAGAAUUUUACCACCCAAAGCAACUCAAUUCCAUUAAAAACCAUACAAAAACAGAACCCAGUAUUACAAGUUUUCCUCCAUCUACAGAAUAAGUAAUUUUCCGAGAAAACGAUUUUUUUUCUUUCCCUUUUUUUUUAGCUGGUAACUGCAAGAACCGAAAAUCCCAUCUUAAAUGCCCGGACCCCAAAGACUCCAUAAACG
RNAcentral lists this unclassified non-coding RNA (321 nucleotides) under Hevea brasiliensis (rubber tree). The record is from RNAcentral. Lineage: Eukaryota; Viridiplantae; Streptophyta; Magnoliopsida; Malpighiales; Euphorbiaceae.